GGAAAAGAAACUUACGAGGAUUCCCCUAGUAACGGCGAGCGAACCGGGAAUAGCCCAACUUGAGAAUCGGGCGACCAUGUCGCUCGAAUUGUAGUCUG
RNAcentral lists this ribosomal RNA (98 nucleotides) under Hemiboea longzhouensis. RNAcentral's name for it is "partial 26S ribosomal RNA". It matches the Rfam family "Eukaryotic large subunit ribosomal RNA", at positions 55 to 152 of the family's 3401-position model. The record is from RNAcentral. Lineage: Eukaryota; Viridiplantae; Streptophyta; Magnoliopsida; Lamiales; Gesneriaceae.